GUGCCAGCCGCCGCGGUAAGACGGAGAGUGCAAACGUUGUUCGGAUUUACUGGGCGUAGAGGGCACGUAGGCGGCCAGGCAAAUCAGUUGUGGAAUCCCGACGCCUACCGUCGGAACGGCAAUUGAAAAUACCUGGCUCGAGGGCAUGAGGGGUCGCGGGAACUCUUGGUGGAGCGGUGAAAUGCGUAGAUAUCAAGAGGAACGCCGGAGGCGAAAGCGCGCGACUGGCAUGACCCUGACGCUGAGGUGCGAAAGCCGGGGGAGCAAACAGGAUUAGAAACCCCAGUAGUCC
This 292-nucleotide ribosomal RNA is filed under the name uncultured bacterium. RNAcentral's name for it is "partial 16S ribosomal RNA". It matches the Rfam family "Bacterial small subunit ribosomal RNA", at positions 505 to 796 of the family's 1533-position model. The record is from RNAcentral.